Tachyglossus aculeatus (Australian echidna) is the source of this 140-nucleotide small nucleolar RNA. NCBI's taxonomy places the organism in Eukaryota, Metazoa, Chordata, Mammalia, Monotremata, Tachyglossidae. The record is from RefSeq and is a predicted model, not a curated record.
UCCCUCUCAGGGUCUCACCAGGGGAGUUUCCAAUACUCUACCAGUCUCAUCUACGAGAGGGAGAGUCAAGCAGAGGCCUACCCAUUCCAUUCCUAGCUUGGCCAGUGGCUAGCGAGUGGAAGACAAUCUCUGCUACAAGU